RNAcentral lists this small RNA (38 nucleotides) under Arabidopsis thaliana (thale cress). RNAcentral describes it as "ATSL134850". Lineage: Eukaryota; Viridiplantae; Streptophyta; Magnoliopsida; Brassicales; Brassicaceae. The record is from RNAcentral.
UUUUUUUCCUUUUUUUUUACGGUUUAGUUUAGACACUA